RNAcentral lists this ribosomal RNA (465 nucleotides) under uncultured bacterium. RNAcentral's name for it is "partial 16S ribosomal RNA". It matches the Rfam family "Bacterial small subunit ribosomal RNA", at positions 28 to 507 of the family's 1533-position model. The record is from RNAcentral.
GACGAACGCUGGCGGCGUGCUUAACACAUGCAAGUCGAACGGAAAGGCCCCCUUGUGGGGUACUCGAGUGGCGAACGGGUGAGUAACACGUGAGUAACCUACCCUUGACUUUGGGAUAACUUCAGGAAACUGGGGCUAAUACCGGAUAGGAGCUCCUGCUGCAUGGUGGGGGUUGGAAAGUUUCGGCGGUUGGGGAUGGACUCGCGGCUUAUCAGCUUGUUGGUGGGGUAGUGGCUCACCAAGGCUUUGACGGGUAGCCGGCCUGAGAGGGUGACCGGCCACCUUGGGACUGGGGUACGGCCCCGACUCCUACGGGAGGCAGCAGUGGGGAAUAUUGCACAAUGGGCGGAAGCCUGGUGCAGCCACGCCGCGUGCGGGAUGACGGCCUUCGGGUUGGAAACCGCUUUCGCCUGUGACGAAGCGUGAGUGACGGUAAUGGGUAAAGAAGCACCGGCUAACUACGUG